RNAcentral lists this ribosomal RNA (468 nucleotides) under uncultured bacterium. RNAcentral's name for it is "partial 16S ribosomal RNA". It matches the Rfam family "Bacterial small subunit ribosomal RNA", at positions 28 to 507 of the family's 1533-position model. The record is from RNAcentral.
GACGAACGCUGGCGGCGUGCUUAACACAUGCAAGUCGAACGGAAAGGCCCUGCUUUUGUGGGGUGCUCGAGUGGCGAACGGGUGAGUAACACGUGAGUAACCUGCCCUUGACUUUGGGAUAACUUCAGGAAACUGGGGCUAAUACCGGAUAGGAGCUCCUGCUGCAUGGUGGGGGUUGGAAAGUUUCGGCGGUUGGGGAUGGACUCGCGGCUUAUCAGCUUGUUGGUGGGGUAGUGGCUUACCAAGGCUUUGCCGGGUAGCCGGCCUGAGAGGGUGACCGGCCACAUUGGGACUGAGAUACGGCCCAGCCUCCUACGGGAGGCAGCAGUGGGGAAUAUUGCACAAUGGGCGGAAGCCUGAUGCAGCAACGCCGCGUGCGGGAUGACGGCCUUCGGGUUGUAAACCGCUUUCGCCUGUGACGAAGCGUGAGUGACGGUAAUGGGUAAAGAAGCACCGGCUAACUACGUG